GAUGAAGAACGUAGCGAAAUGCGAUAAGUAAUGCGAAUUGCAGAAUUCAGUGAGUCAUCGAAUCUUUGAACGCACAUUGCGCCCUGUGGUAUUCCGCAGGGCAUGCCUGUUCGAGCGUCAUUUCAACCCUCAAGCUCUGCUUGGUGUUGGGCCCUGCCCGCUGCGGCCGGCCCUAAAGACAGUGGCGGUGCCGCCUGGCCCUGAGCGUAGUACAUCUCUCGCUCCAGUGCCCGUUGGUAGCCUGCCAGAACCCCAACUCUCGUGGUUGACCUCGGAUCAGGUAGGGAUACCCGCUGAACUUAAGCAUAUCAAUAAGCGGAGGA
This 323-nucleotide unclassified non-coding RNA is filed under the name soil metagenome. Its description in RNAcentral is "partial contains 5.8S ribosomal RNA, internal transcribed spacer 2, and large subunit ribosomal RNA". The stretch from base 1 to 120 matches the Rfam family "5.8S ribosomal RNA", at positions 35 to 154 of the family's 154-position model. The record is from RNAcentral.